RNAcentral lists this ribosomal RNA (644 nucleotides) under uncultured fungus. Its description in RNAcentral is "eukaryotic LSU rRNA". The stretch from base 175 to 329 matches the Rfam family "5.8S ribosomal RNA". Lineage: Eukaryota; Fungi. The record is from RNAcentral.
GGCUAGGGCUCUCGACAUAAACCCGAGGGCUUUCGAGCCCGAGGUAGUCGCCUCAAGCUCGGGUCAAUCUCGGGCCUGAGGUGGCUGGCGGCUGACCCUGUUUGGGAAGGCCAAAACUAUAUCCACACCGUUUGUUUAUGUUUGACAAUGUCAUUUUUAACAAAAUGUAUAUACAACUUUUAACAAUGGAUCUCUUGGCUCUUGCAACGAUGAAGAACGCAGUGAAUUGCGAAAAGUAAUGUGACUUGCAUACAUCUGUGAAUCAUCAAAUCUUUGAACGCACAUGGCACCGUUAGGUUCUGCUUAACGGUAUACUUGUUUGAGAAUCGUAUUACCCUUUCGUUCCACGCUCUGCGGAGAACGGUAUUGAGGCCUUAAAGCGUACCAAGUUUGGUACUGAUUUGGUCUUUAAAUUGAUGGCUUUAUGAGUCCCAUGGCCAAUGCGGUCGUCGUGGGCACUGUGUGGUAAGGUGUGCAUAACGCCAAUAGCACUUUGUACCUGGCGACUACACAUGAGACUCUAAGCCCUUUACCAAUCGUGCCUGUACAGGCUUGAUUCACAAGGUGCGCAUUGCUUCCAAUGUGCAAGCCUUGGUUUACCGAUCUCAAAUCAAGCAAGACUACCCGCUGAACUUAAGCAUAUC